Felis catus (domestic cat) is the source of this 951-nucleotide long non-coding RNA. RefSeq lists it as uncharacterized. The record is from RefSeq and is a predicted model, not a curated record. The transcript has 2 exons. NCBI's taxonomy places the organism in Eukaryota, Metazoa, Chordata, Mammalia, Carnivora, Felidae.
CUCACAAUCCUGGGAUCAUGACCUGAGUCGAAAUCAAGAGUUGGAUGCUCAAUGGACUGAGCCACCCAGGUGCCCCCAUGAUUGUCUUUUUUUGGAACAAAGGAAGCAAAAAUCAUCUGCUUAGACUGUGGGAGGAAAUAGUGGAAGAAGAAUGGAACUGGUGAAAAGAGGUUCAAUUUAGCCUUUGAGCAAAAUGGAAGGAGAAUAAAAAGAGAUUUAAAGCUUUGGCUGAUUUUGAAAACAUACAAUUGUCUUAACAACAAUUUCUAAAUUUUUUAUAAUUUUCCCCCUCAAUUGUAUUUUUUAGACUGAAGACAGAAACCCAGGACCCAGACCCAGGACCAGAGUUUUAUAGGAUUAAUGCAAAAGAGGGACAAAAAGACAAAAGAGAGAAAGGAUGGAUUUGCAAUAAGGACUAAGGGAGUGGCCGCAGAAAUUGAAAACUGCCAAGACAAACUCAUGGAGCAAAGGGCAAUCAAUGAAAGACUGAUAUAAAUAACAAGAUAAAGAGUUGACACUGGGAGAGGGUCCCAUUCAGAGAAGUACCUUUCUUUCUGGAUAUUAUGAGCAUUAGAUGUUAAUAGGUAGGAUAUUAGAGCUGUUAAAAUCAAGAAUUUUGAAGACCGCAAACUGGGUUGGAAUCCCAGCUCCACUGGUAGUUGUAGAAAUUUGGGCAAGUUACAUUCUCUUAUGUCAAUUUAACUCCCCUGCAAAAUGGGAGAUGACCACCUAUCUUACAGUUAAGAAUUCAAGGAGUUAAUGUAUAGAAAGAGCACACUGCCCAGAACAGAAUAAAGUAUUCAGUAAAUAACAGUAACAGUUAUAUCCAGGGAAGUUUCUAGAGGGCAGUUACAAAAAGAAAAGGGAAGAAAUCAGAGUUAAAGAUAUGGGAAUUCUCUGACUAGAUUAAAAAAAAAAUUAUAUACAUAUAUAUAUAUAUAUAUAUAUAUA